RNAcentral lists this ribosomal RNA (253 nucleotides) under uncultured bacterium. RNAcentral describes it as "partial 16S ribosomal RNA". It matches the Rfam family "Bacterial small subunit ribosomal RNA", at positions 524 to 776 of the family's 1533-position model. The record is from RNAcentral.
UACGUAGGGUGCGAGCGUUGUCCGGAAUUACUGGGCGUAAAGAGCUCGUAGGUGGUUUGUCGCGUUGUUCGUGAAAACUCACAACUCAAUUGUGGGCGUGCGGGCGAUACGGGCAGACUGGAGUACUGCAGGGGAGACUGGAAUUCCUGGUGUAGCGGUGGAAUGCGCAGAUAUCAGGAGGAACACCGGUGGCGAAGGCGGCAUCCUGGACCGACAUUGACGCUGAUGAGCGAAAGCUAGGGGAGCAAACGGG